RNAcentral lists this ribosomal RNA (407 nucleotides) under uncultured prokaryote. RNAcentral describes it as "bacterial SSU rRNA". It matches the Rfam family "Bacterial small subunit ribosomal RNA", at positions 355 to 776 of the family's 1533-position model. The record is from RNAcentral. RNAcentral also lists the same sequence under 1 other name.
UGGGGAAUAUUGCACAAUGGGCGAAAGCCUGAUGCAGCGACGCCGCGUGAAGGAUGAAGGUCUUCGGAUUGUAAACUUCUAUCAGCAGGGAAGAAAAAAAUGACGGUACCUGACUAAGAAGCUCCGGCUAACUACGUGCCAGCAGCCGCGGUAAUACGUAGGGAGCGAGCGUUAUCCGGAUUUACUGGGUGUAAAGGGUGCGUAGGCGGCCUGGCAAGUCAGAAGUGAAAUUUAGGGGCUCAACCUCUAAACUGCUUCUGAAACUACCGGGCUAGAGUGCAGGAGAGGAAAGCGGAACUCCACGUGUAGCGGUGAAAUGCGUAGAGAUGUGGAGGAACACCAGUAGCGAAGGCGGCUUUCUGGACUGUAACUGACGCUGAGGCACGAAAGCGUGGGGAGCAAACAGG